This 253-nucleotide ribosomal RNA is filed under the name uncultured bacterium. Its description in RNAcentral is "partial 16S ribosomal RNA". It matches the Rfam family "Bacterial small subunit ribosomal RNA", at positions 524 to 776 of the family's 1533-position model. The record is from RNAcentral.
GACAGAGGAUGCAAGCGUUAUCCGGAAUCAUUGGGCGUAAAGCGCGUGUAGGCGGCCAGGUAAGUCCGUUCUGAAAGCCCGGGGCUCAACCCCGGGAGGCGGAUGGAUACUGCUUGGCUCGAGUCCGGAAGAGGCGAGUGGAAUUCCUAGUGUAGAGGUGAAAUUCGUAGAUAUUAGGAAGAACACCAGUGGCGAAGGCGGCUCACUGGCCCGGUACUGACGCUGAGGCGCGAAAGCGUGGGGAGCAAACAGG